Molecule: ribosomal RNA, 248 nt
Filed under: uncultured Actinomycetales bacterium
Lineage: Bacteria; Bacillati; Actinomycetota; Actinomycetes; Actinomycetales
Description: partial 16S ribosomal RNA
Rfam family: Bacterial small subunit ribosomal RNA
Source: RNAcentral
GGGGUGCUCGAGUGGCGAACGGGUGAGUAACACGUGAGUAACCUGCCCUUGACUUUGGGAUAACUUCAGGAAACUGGGUCUAAUACUGGAUAUGACCUUUCUCCUUAUGGGGUUUGGUGGAAAGUUUUUCGGUGUAGGAUGAGCCCGCGGCCUAUCAGCUUGUUGGUGGGGUGAUGGCCUACCAAGGCGACGACGGGUAGCCGGCCUGAGAGGGUGAUCGGCCACAUUGGGACUGAGAUACGGCCCAG